GUGCCAGCCGCCGCGGUAAUACAGAGGGUGCAAGCGUUAAUCGGAAUUACUGGGCGUAAAGCGAGCGCAGGUGGCUUGAUAAGUCAGAUGUGAAAUCCCCGGGCUUAGCCUGGGAACUGCAUCUGAUACUGUUGGGCUAGAGUAGGUGAGAGGGAGGUAGAAUUUCAGGUGUAGCGGUGAAAUGCGUAGAGAUCUGAAGGAAUACCGAUGGCGAAGGCAGCCUCCUGGCAUCAUACUGACACUGAGGUUCGAAAGCGUGGGUAGCAAACAGGAUUAGAUACCCCCGUAGUC
RNAcentral lists this ribosomal RNA (291 nucleotides) under uncultured prokaryote. RNAcentral's name for it is "partial 16S ribosomal RNA". It matches the Rfam family "Bacterial small subunit ribosomal RNA", at positions 505 to 795 of the family's 1533-position model. The record is from RNAcentral.